Long non-coding RNA from Erinaceus europaeus (western European hedgehog), 5974 nucleotides. RefSeq lists it as uncharacterized. The transcript has 7 exons. The record is from RefSeq and is a predicted model, not a curated record. NCBI's taxonomy places the organism in Eukaryota, Metazoa, Chordata, Mammalia, Eulipotyphla, Erinaceidae.
CCUGCAGACCUGCUUCACCGCCUGUGAAGCGACUCUAGUGCAGGUGGGGAGCCGGGGGCUCGAACCGGGAUUUUUACCCCGGUCCCCGCGCUUUGCGCCACCUGCGCUUAACCCGCUGUGCUACCGGCCGACUCCCAGAAUUUAUUAAUUUUAUCUUCACUGCUGUUUCUGUGAAAAAAAUGCAAACUUUACUUUCUUUCAUGAGGCUCGUGUGAUUCAUUACCUGAAGCAGUUGACUGAAAUUACUGGGUGUUUCACCCUGCGCCCUUCUGUAUAAUGAAUGUGGGGCCAAGUACAUUGAAUAAAUGCAUUAAUUAAAUGGAGGAGAUAAAUAACAGAAUCGUGUCGGGCAUGCAUCAUCAAGAAUGUAGAACGGGGACCAAACAGUGCUGAGUGAUUCCAAAAUCACACUUAACUACAAUCGUUUACCGAGAUAGUCAAGAUAUAGAGAGAAAUCUGUAAAUGUUGCUCUGACGGGGUGGUUUUCAAUGUGGCUAUCCAUGCCAUUAAAGUAAAAGUAAAGUAAAGAAUUAAUCCCAGAGGACCACAGUUUAUUAGCUAGUCCUCGAGUUCUAGCAGUUAGUAACCUAGGCACAAGUAUUCUAAACCAAGGUUAAUUCUGGUCUUUCUUCCACAGAACGUGGAAUACACAGUUUUGAAGAAACACAAUAUUAAUUGGCAACACAGAGGCAGAUGCAAGCUCAACAACCCUCCCAUGAUUGAAUCACUGUUUAUUUUGAAGACACUUGACGAGUUCUUUGGAGCCUGGGGAGCUUAAACGCUAAUAAUGGUCACUAUCAAACAUGCUCAUGUAUUCACGGUAAAGAUGCUGUUGCCUUUUACUUCUGCAUAGACUGAAGUAAUCAGUCAUAUUUUCUUAAGGAGUUGUCGGGGGUGGGGGUACUUGGUCUUGACUGUUUACUCAGAUGUUUGCAAGGAGUGGGUCAUCAACAGUUCAGAAGUGUCUGUGCAUUGAUCUGUGGGCUGUGACUUCAACAUUAUGAAGAGUUCAAUUUUGUCAGACCAAUUCCCUUAGACAUUAUAAUCAUUUUGGGGACAAUUUAAUAUUCCACCUUACUGUUUCGCCUGAGUGGAUGGUGGAUGUAAGAGGGUGUUUUUUUUUUUAUUGGUGUGUUAAUAGAUUACUAAUCCAUUGGGAUGGAGAACAUUUUUUUUAAUUUUCCCUUUUGUUGCCCUUGUUUUUUACUGUUGUUGUAGUUAUUAUUGUUGUUAUUGAUGUCGUUGUUGGAUAGGACAGAGAGAAAUGGAGAAAAGAGGGGGAGACAGAGGGGGGCACCUGCAGACCUGCUUCACUGCCUGUGAAGCGACUCCCCUGCAGGUGGGGAGCCGGGGGCUCGAACCAGGAUCCUUACUCCGGUCCUUGCGUUUUGCGCCACCUGCGCUUAACCAGCUGCGCUACCACCCGACUCCCAGAGAACAUUAACAGAUGGGAGAAAUGGCAUUUUCCUCAGUUAUCACAUGCAAUGCUAAUGUACAUUACCCACUUUGAAAUAGCAGUGUAAGGGGCCGGCCACUGGUGCACUUGGUUAAGUGCUCACAUUACAGUGUGCAAAGAGCCAGGUUCUAGCCCCCAGUCCCCUCCUGGAGAGGGGAAGCUCCCCAAGCAGUGAAGCACGGCUACAGGUGUUCUCUGUCUCUCUCCUUCUCUAUUCCCUGCAUCUCUUUAUUUCUUUCUCUACCCAAUAAAUAAGUAAAUAAAAAAGUUGUAAAAAGAAUUACAACAUAAAAGGAGCAAUAAUAUAUUUUAACUGAUUCUUAUUUAUUUAACUUGCCACCAAUGUUAUCAUUGAGUUUGGUGCCUGCACAACAAACUCCCUGCUCCUGGAGACAAUUUUUCUUUUUCUUUUUUUGCUUUCUAUUUUAUUGGGUAGGACAGAGAGAAAUUAAGAGGCGAGGGGAAGAUAGGGAAGGAGCGAGGAAGAGAGACAGCUGCAGACCUGCUUCAACAUUCAGUUGAGAGUUCCAGGUCUGUGCUCGUGAUCAGUGUCAUGGUGAAGAACGUGUUUAUAACGUCUAAACUACAUCCUCAGUCAUUUUCCUUCUUCUCCUGAAUGAGCCACCACAGUGGAGUCCGUCGCCGUCCAGUCUUGGUGAAGAGCUUGGCAGUUCCUCUGCAGGUAAGGCGUGUGAUAGGUGGCAGUCAGUGUUCCUCUCUUGCUUAGUGGAUUCUCUCAUUUGUUGUCACUGAGAGUGUUCAGUGAAGCAAAAGGCUAUACACAUGUAAAACAAAAAAAAUCCCAGAACAUUCUACUUACUGACUAAAUGAAGAAGGGGUCAAAAAUGGCCAUUCCUUAUUUCAGUUCCACUUUGAUCCAUUUUUCCAUGAGUUGGAAGAAGUAUAGAGAGCUGUGAGAACUUAGACGAAUCUCGUAGAAGAUAAACCCUAUUGUACAUGUUCAAGAAUCUUAAGGAUGAUUUAUUUUUAUUGCUUUAUUUUUUUGGUGGUCCAUUCUGCCAAGUUUCAAGCCAGUGAGGUUGAUUGGCAGUGACCUAAUCAAGGAUCAUGGCUUGUGCCGGGAAUUGAGGAGGUCAUCUCCGCACUGAGACUGAGUUUGAGCUCCCUCGGUGCUGUGAGAACUAAGGCCAGAGACAGAUUGCAGUGAAAUCAAACACAGAAAUCUAGGGCCUUGAUGAUUCACUAGAAUAUGGAAGUACAAAUGAGUGAAAUCACAGCGCCAUCUUAGUCCAGUGAUGAGACUGGAGGGUGUCUGAAUCAGAAACUUUGAUUAUCUCAUUGUCACUCUGAGGUCCUUUAUUUAAGAGCGGCCUCCUCCUCCCCUAUUCACACCAGCUUGGUAGCAGAAGUGUCAGAGCACUGAGUAUUAGAUUGGCAUCUUGAUCAUGCGUGUGCUCACGCUGGGCAUGUUGAUUGAAUUUAUGUAAGUUAAACCAUGUACUAAUAAGAUGCUUUUAUUAAUAUGAACUAAUGACGAGCAUAUAUCCGGAGACACGGAUCAUGUUAAAACACUUUUGGAGCACUGAAUUUCAAUUGAACAAUUUAAAAGUGGGCAAACCAUGACCCAGUGAGAAGAAAAACAAAGCCGUAACAUCAGAACAACUGCAGUCAAAAUAAGAGAAAAGACAUUUUAUUCGUUUCCAAAGCUGAUGACUAGUCUUACACUGCAUUGGGUUGAAAGAUUAAUUCACUAAUAACAUUGACUGCACUGUCCAGUGUGACCUCCCCCUCCAGUCUCAGUCUAGAUUUAUCUGUUUAAAUUUAAGUAAUUAAGUAAACACUUGAUAGUUCAUGUGACUUGAUGUGUUCUCAAAACUUCUAUUAGACUUUGGUCAUAACUGUUAAUCCCCAGAGGCACAGCAGGGAGUUUAUAGCAAGGUGCAGGGAUAAAUUUGCUUGAAUCAACAGUGUUAACUGACCCAUUUAGACCUUACCAAGGAUAUCUAUACCAAAAAUCGCAAUUACUGACACAAACUGUGUUGUGUUAUAGACACAGAUCUUGGUCAUAACCAAGGAUCCUGUUCUUGAGUUUGUUUUUUUUUUUAAUUCAUAGAUAUUGAUUUUUGUCACUGUCAGUGGGUCAAUAAACAAAGGAGGAAAGAGAGAAAAAGAUUUCUUUGUCUGAAACAAUGAUUUGUAAUUUAAAGGAUAUCUUUAGUGACUGACUAUAGCUUUAACAAUUGGGGAAAUAUAAAGUGCCAGGAAUAUAUUUUCAUUAGGCCCUCGAACUCUGAGGUCCUGUGUAAGGUGGCACUACCUGCUAUUCCCCCAGGCUGUGAACUUUCUUCUAGGAGUUGAAAGUCCUCAAAAGUUUGCUCUUAUGAGCAUUGUGGUAUUUUCAGUAAGUCAGAGGAUGAAUAGCUCAAGAAGAAUAUAAAUGAAUAAAGACAAAUAGGUUAUUCCUCAUCCAAAUUUGAGAGCAGGUAAUAUAAUAAAUGCAAUGUAAAAAUCACUAUUAAUAAAUUUCUGAAGCUUUGAGUUCCAGUAAAAUAAAUAGGUUACAGUUGACCCUUCUGAGUUAAGAGCAUCUUGACAAAUGGAUAUCAGAGGCCAUGCUGUUUUUCUAGGUUGGAUUGUUGACUUUUUGUUUUAUUAAGAGAAGGGCAAGACAUCUGCUGAAAUUAAUUAUUGAUUAAUAACUCCAUAUAUGAGCAGGGCCUUACAGUUAGACCGCUGAUGAGAAUGUGUCCCACAAUCAGAUAGGAUUUGUACAAUCAUGUUAACUAGUUAAAAAUUUUAAAUUGAAUGGUAUUGCAUUAGUGACUCAUUUUUAAAUAAAAAGUAUGAAAAAUUAUCUGAUCCCCCCCCCCCCGUGGCUACAGAGUCCAUGUUAUCAGUGGAGGCAUGGAUCUUCAUGGUUUUGUGAGACUUUGUACAGUAAUAAGUCAAUCAGCUAUUUGAAAGAAUGAGAAAUAUGUACCAGGGAGGUUCCCUUGUUAUGGAAUGAGGAAAGCGAUUAAUCUGUUUUAGCAGAAGAGCUCCACUGAUGAAGAAAACAGACUUAUGUCCUUCAUUUUUUUUUUUUAAUGGGAACUAUUUUUAGACAGGCUCAAUCAAUCUUUCUUUACUUGUUGGUGAAAUGUCUUUAAGAAUGGAAAUUCAGUCACCAAUAAAAUGGUCACAGUCAUAAGAAAUGGAAAUUCACAAUUCCAUGUAAAACUUUACACGUCUAGGAAAUUAGGACAGUAAGUCCUAAUUAGGACAGCCUCUUUCUGACCUGACAGGGCAUGGAGUGCACGCGGACAAGGCUCAGAGGCAGUCUUUACUCUUUUGUUUGGUGUUGGUUUUGUUGGUACUUGCACAAGUUAAAUUUGAUGCUUUAUCAAUAAGCACAUGAAUCCACAUGCCUUCGAAGUUUUAGAGUAUAGCAGCACCAAGGCUUUUCUUCUAAUCAAUCACUAUUUAAUCGAACUGAAAAUAUCUGCAUCUAAGUUGGCCCACCUAGAAACUUUCUAGCUUCCUUAAGUCUAUUUUUGUAUUUUCGUUGAACUCUCCCAAAUCGGUUGCACUGUGAUUCAGUGAAGGAGUGUAAAUACUUCUGUAAGUAACAGUCAAACCAGUUGCUUGUGGGGUGGUUUGUCCUGGAUGUUAACUAUGAUUCCAGGGAGGGAAAAAUGUGAUGCAGGCACCAAUAAAACUUGGUCCUUUUUCUUUUCUUGCCGCCAGUUACCACUGGGGAUUGGCCAGCACCACAAAUUCAGUGCUCCUGGCAGCCAUUUUCCCCCACCACCAAACUUUUUUUUUCUUCCAAUUUUAUUAAUUUAUUUUUAUUCGACAGGACAGAGAGAAAUUGAGAGGGAAAAGGAGAUAGAGAGGUAGAGAGAAAGAUGAUAGAGAGGUAGAGAGAAAGAUGAACACCUGCAGACCUACUUCACUGGUCACUUAGGAAAUAUCCUUCCUACAGGUGGGGAACAGGGUUUGAACCUGGAUACUUAUGCAUGUGUGCUUAACCGAUGUGCCACCACCCGGCCCCUAACCUUUACUUUUCUUCUCUUUUCUUUUUUACUUGCUUCCCUUUGCUGCUCCACCUGGCUGUCUUUGGGGAGAGUGAAGUGUAUUCACAGUCAAGGGCACUGGUCUUCUCUCUGGGCCUUGAGGGUGUGGGGCUCAGAAUGUUCACCCUCACGCUGUACUAAGAUGAUCCCAUGUCCCCGAUCCCCCUGGUUCCUUCCAUCCAUGUGUUGGGCAGAUCUAAGAUCAUCUGAUGUCAACGUCUUGGUCGACAGCACCUGCUCUCAGAGAGUGGAGACCAGGACUGCAACUGAGCGGUGAUUUGGGCCUGUCUUCCUUUUGUUCCAGAGGAAACCUAGGCUUUGUCACCACAAGCUGAUUUAAGACUCCCACCAUGAUCUUGGUGAUGGGCAUGGAGACUGAGGUGAGUCCCUGUCAAAAAUCUUUACCAGAGGACUUACUCUGUGUGGUUAAAAUGGACGACACGUUACCACUGAGCUUUAAAAGCAGUAAAAGUAGGUUUCACAUUGAUCUGUGUAAGAACAU